Molecule: non-coding RNA, 1136 nt
Organism: Oncorhynchus mykiss (rainbow trout)
Lineage: Eukaryota; Metazoa; Chordata; Actinopteri; Salmoniformes; Salmonidae
Source: RefSeq, a predicted model, not a curated record
CGAAGUCUGACCAGAAGACCAUUGUUUUGUGUCAGCCUCUGGAAUCAGCUCAAAUGCCCUGGGAAGUUCGGACAAAGGACCCGCUUCGGGAAAGCCGUAUUCCUGGUCGUAGUGCUGGAAGGGGACCCUGUCUUAAUCUCCACACGAGAGCCUGGGUUCGAGGAUGCUGACAGGAGCUCAUCCAGGUAACCAAGCGCAUAAUCAAAUUUGGCACUCGUAAGAUGCCUUGACCAUUUUUUCCAUUCCUUUAAAUAUUUUUCUUUCUCCUGGCAUGGGGGGGGGGCAUCCACAGAGAAGCAGGAAAGACUGCAUUACACACGUCGUUCAACACUGACUAGUUACAACCCACUUCAGAAUAGCCUCUUGAUCUAAUGAUAUAUUGCAACAAUGUUUUGUUUGUUAUCCUUUUCUUUUUAUAAAGGGAAAAAUGUGAAGUCAACUUUCAUCAUGCAAAAUAAAGCCAAAAUUAAUCAUAAUCAGCAUGAGAAAAUGUAACAUUUGAAUUAAAAUAGUGCAAAGGACAACAAAAAUGUGUCAGUGCUCAAGUAUUGGACUUUAUUGACGGUUAAGCAAUAUCAGUGCACAAUACUCAUCACUUGAAUACAACAUGAUCAAAAUCCAUUGCUUUCUACAUACACAUGGUUUGUGAGCACAUUGGCUAAUCUUGUUGGGCAAAGUGAAGAUUUUAUUUCAUGACUUCAUUAAGAUUUAAGUUCAGUAUGGUAAGCCUUUAUGCGCUAUACAACUUUCUCACAAGCUUUUUUUUAUUCGCCAAUUAAAAGACAGUAUAAAAUUCACUUAAACAUAUCGGUAUAAACUCAAUAUGCUGGGGAAAAUAUAUUCCUGUACCCCCACCUUUGACAAACUUUACAGGCAAAAGGGGGAGGUAAGAAGUUAUCCAAUUAAUUUUAAAAAAGGUGACUUUUGUUACGUUCUUAGACGUUCACACUAGUAAACCAGAUCGAGCUUCAUUGGAAGUCCAAUACAGGGGUUGUAUUGUGUUAGUAGGCCAGGAUAUUUAUAUCAACAUUUCUGCAUUGGGCUGGGCUUUCUUGUAUAGGCAUUUCUCUAAAAACAAAAAGGAUAUUCUGUAUCCCAACAUGAAACACAAAGCCCAUCUAAGAGGUAAAAACAAA